ACGGAAGGCAGCAGUAGGGAAUCUUCCACAAUGGACGCAAGUCUGAUGGAGCAACGCCGCGUGAAUGAAGAAGGCUUUCGGGUCGUAAAAUUCUGUUGUUAGUGAAGAACAUGCAGGAGAGUACCUGUUAUUGUAUUGACGGUAUCCAACCAGAAACCCACGGCUAACUACGUGCCAGCAGCCGCGGUUAUACGUAGGUGGCAAGCGUUGUCCGGAUUUAUUGGGCGUAAAGGGAACGCAGGCGGUUUUGUAAGUCAGAUGUGAAAGCCUUCGGCUCAACCGAAGAAUUGCAUUGGAAACUGGAAGGCUUGAGUGCAGGAGAGGAGAGUGGAACUCCAUGUGUAGCGGUGGAAUGCGUAGAUAUAUGUAAGAACACCAGUGGCGAAAGCGGCUCUCUGGUCUGUAACUGACGCUGAGGUACGAAAGCGUGGGUAGCAAACAGGAUUAGAUACCCUGGUA
This 459-nucleotide ribosomal RNA is filed under the name uncultured Lactobacillus sp. RNAcentral describes it as "partial 16S ribosomal RNA". It matches the Rfam family "Bacterial small subunit ribosomal RNA", at positions 341 to 792 of the family's 1533-position model. Lineage: Bacteria; Bacillati; Bacillota; Bacilli; Lactobacillales; Lactobacillaceae. The record is from RNAcentral.